Molecule: ribosomal RNA, 301 nt
Filed under: uncultured bacterium
Lineage: Bacteria
Description: partial 16S ribosomal RNA
Rfam family: Bacterial small subunit ribosomal RNA
Source: RNAcentral
CAGCCGCCACGGUAAUACAGAGGGUGCAAGCGUUAAUCGGAAUUACUGGGCGUAAAGCGCGCGUAGGUGGUUCGCCAAGUUGGAUGUGAAAUCCCCGGGCUCAACCUGGGAACUGCAUCCAAAACUGGCGAGCUAGAGUAUGGUAGAGGGUGGUGGAAUUUCCUGUGUAGCGGUGAAAUGCGUAGAGAUCGGGAGGAACAUCAGUGGCGAAGGCGGCCAUCUGGGACAACACUGACGCUGAGGCACGAAAGCGUGGGGAGCAAACAGGAUUAGAUACCCGUGUAGUCCCUGUCUCUUAUAC